CCUACGGGUGGCAGCAGUGAGGAAUAUUGGUCAAUGGACGAGAGUCUGAACCAGCCAAGUAGCGUGAAGGAUGACUGCCCUAUGGGUUGUAAACUUCUUUUAUAUGGGAAUAAAAUGUUCCACGUGUGGGAUUUUGUAUGUACCCUAUGAAUAAGGAUCGGCUAACUCCGUGCCAGCAGCCGCGGUAAUACGGAGGAUCCGAGCGUUAUCCGGAUUUAUUGGGUUGAAAGGGAGCGUAGGUGGAUUGUUAAGUCAGUUGUGAAAGUUUGCGGCUCAACCGUAAAAGUGCAGUUGUAACUGGCAGUCUUGAGUACAGUAGAGGUGGGCGGAAUUCGUGGUGUAGCGGUGAAAUGCGUAGAUAUCACGAAGAACUCCGAUUGCGAAGGCAGAUCGCUGGACAGUAACUGACGCUGAGGCGCGAAAGUGUGGGUAGCAAACAGGAUUAGAUACCCUUGUAGUC
Molecule: ribosomal RNA, 460 nt
Filed under: uncultured bacterium
Lineage: Bacteria
Description: partial 16S ribosomal RNA
Rfam family: Bacterial small subunit ribosomal RNA
Source: RNAcentral